GAAUGUUGUGUAGGUUCGAAUCCUACUCCCGCCA
Molecule: transfer RNA, 34 nt
Filed under: Hookeria lucens
Lineage: Eukaryota; Viridiplantae; Streptophyta; Bryopsida; Hookeriales; Hookeriaceae
Description: partial tRNA-Met
Source: RNAcentral